RNAcentral lists this ribosomal RNA (262 nucleotides) under uncultured archaeon. RNAcentral describes it as "partial 16S ribosomal RNA". It matches the Rfam family "Archaeal small subunit ribosomal RNA", at positions 716 to 982 of the family's 1478-position model. The record is from RNAcentral.
ACGUCUACAUUAGAUACCCCCGUAGUCCCAGCCGUAAACUAUGCGCGUUAGGUGUAUCGGUGACCACGAGUCACCGAGGUGCCGAAGGGAAACCGUGAAACGUGCCGCCUGGGAAGUACGGUCGCAAGGCUGAAACUUAAAGGAAUUGGCGGGGAGCACCACAACGGGUGGAGCCUGCGGUUUAAUUGGACUCAACGCCGGGAAGCUCACCGGAUAAGACAGCGGAAUGAUUGCCGGGCUGAAGACUCUGCAUGACUAGCUG